UGGGGAAUAUUGCACAAUGGGCGAAAGCCUGAUGCAGCCAUGCCGCGUGGGUGAAGAAGGCCCUAGGGUUGUAAACCCCUUUCAGCGGGGAAGAUAAUGACGGUACCCGCAGAAGAAGUCCCGGCUAACUCCGUGCCAGCAGCCGCGGUAAUACGGAGGGGACUAGCGUUGUUCGGAAUUACUGGGCGUAAAGCGCACGUAGGCGGAUUUGUAAGUCAGGGGUGAAAUCCCGGGGCUCAACCUCGGAAC
RNAcentral lists this ribosomal RNA (249 nucleotides) under uncultured Hyphomicrobiaceae bacterium. RNAcentral describes it as "partial 16S ribosomal RNA". It matches the Rfam family "Bacterial small subunit ribosomal RNA", at positions 355 to 621 of the family's 1533-position model. Lineage: Bacteria; Pseudomonadati; Pseudomonadota; Alphaproteobacteria; Hyphomicrobiales; Hyphomicrobiaceae. The record is from RNAcentral.